RNAcentral lists this ribosomal RNA (458 nucleotides) under uncultured bacterium. RNAcentral's name for it is "bacterial SSU rRNA". It matches the Rfam family "Bacterial small subunit ribosomal RNA", at positions 29 to 533 of the family's 1533-position model. The record is from RNAcentral.
AACGAACGCUGGCGGCAGGCCUAACACAUGCAAGUCGAGCGGGGGAGCAAUCCCUAGCGGCGGACGGGUUAGUAACGCGUGGGAACAUACCCUUUGGUACGGAAUAGCCUCGGGAAACUGAGAGUAAUACCGUAUGUGCCCUUCGGGGGAAAGAUUUAUCGCCAAAGGAUUGGCCCGCGUUGGAUUAGGUAGUUGGUGGGGUAAUGGCCUACCAAGCCUACGAUCCAUAGCUGGUUUGAGAGGAUGAUCAGCAACACUGGGACUGAGACACGGCCCAGACUCCUACGGGAGGCAGCAGUGGGAAUCUUAGACAAUGGGCGCAAGCCUGAUCUAGCCAUGCCGCGUGAGCGAUGAAGGCCUUAGGGUUGUAAAGCUCUUUCAGAUGGGAAGAUAAUGACGGUACCAUCAGAAGAAGCCCCGGCUAACUCCGUGCCAGCAGCCGCGGUAAUGUAGACGUC